Molecule: non-coding RNA, 31 nt
Filed under: Plasmodium falciparum 3D7
Lineage: Eukaryota; Apicomplexa; Aconoidasida; Haemosporida; Plasmodiidae
Source: RNAcentral
UUACCUGCUUAGAAAAGAAAAGUUUGUCGUG